UACAGAGGGUGCGAGCGUUGUCCGGAUUUACUGGGCGUAAAGGGCGUGCAGGCGGUCUGUUAAGUGCAGGGUGAAAGCUCCCGGCUCAACUGGGAGAGGUCCUUGCAUACUGGCGGACUUGAGGGGGGUAGAGGAAAGUGGAAUUCCCGGUGUAGUGGUGAUAUGCGUAGAUAUCGGGAGGAACACCUGUGGCGAAGGCGGCUUUCUGGGCCCUACCUGACGCUGAGACGCGAAAGCGUGGGGAGCGAACCGG
This 253-nucleotide ribosomal RNA is filed under the name uncultured bacterium. RNAcentral's name for it is "partial 16S ribosomal RNA". It matches the Rfam family "Bacterial small subunit ribosomal RNA", at positions 524 to 776 of the family's 1533-position model. The record is from RNAcentral.